This 404-nucleotide unclassified non-coding RNA is filed under the name soil metagenome. RNAcentral's name for it is "partial contains 5.8S ribosomal RNA, internal transcribed spacer 2, and large subunit ribosomal RNA". The stretch from base 1 to 122 matches the Rfam family "5.8S ribosomal RNA", at positions 35 to 154 of the family's 154-position model. The record is from RNAcentral.
GAUGAAGAACGUAGCAAAAUGCGAUACUUGGUGUGAAUUGCAGAAUCCCGUGAACCAUCGAGUUUUUGAACGCAAGUUGCGCCCGAAGCCUUUUGGCCGAGGGCACGUCUGCCUGGGCGUCACGCAUCGCGUCGCCCCCCACACUUCUCCGUAAAGGGAACAUGUGUUUUGGGGGCGGAUAUUGGUCUCCCGUGCUCAUGGCGUGGUUGGCCGAAAUAGGAGUCCUUUCGAUGGACGCACGAACUAGUGGUGGUCGUAAAAACCCUCGUCUUUUGUUUCGUGCUGUUGGUCGCAAGGUAAACUCUUUAAAAACCCCAAUGUGUCGUCUCUUGACGACGCUUCGACCGCGACCCCAGGUCAGGCGGGACUACCCGCUGAGUUUAAGCAUAUCAAUAAGCGGAGGA